This is an RNA transcript of Diorhabda carinulata, 14630 nucleotides long. It is a transcript of the gene named serine/threonine-protein phosphatase 2A 56 kDa regulatory subunit epsilon isoform, with no coding region annotated. The record is from RefSeq and is a predicted model, not a curated record. NCBI's taxonomy places the organism in Eukaryota, Metazoa, Arthropoda, Insecta, Coleoptera, Chrysomelidae. The transcript is spliced from 7 exons.
GAUUUUUCUAAAAUAAAUAGUACAAAGAAGUGUUAAAAUAUUAUAAUUAAUUAUAAAAAGGUUUCUAUGUAAUGCAAAAAUUUAUACGGGCGAUUGUAAUUUUUUUUUUCUUAUUUCUAGAAGUGAUGUAUUAAUUUUUCGAACUACUAAAUGACAGUUUAGAUAUACUAUUGACCAGUGCAUACCUCCCAUCUAUUUUCAGUCCUAGGUACCUACGGCAUCGCAAUCACCGAAAUUAAAAAAUAUUAGGGAUAAUUUCAACAGCCUUAAGUUAAUGUGAAGUGAAACGAAUAAACUGUCGAAAUCAUUUGUUAUGUGAGCUAUGUGUAAACUUAAACUAAGUGUUCAGAAAUAGUUAAUUUCUAAUAAUUUUGUGUAGGAAUAACCAGCUGAUGGCGGGUGAAAAUACGGGAAUGGCUUGGCAGUUUAGUGAACAUACCUAUAAAAGAUUUUUGAAGUGAUUUUUAUUGCCAUAUUUGCAUACUUAGACUAUUCUUAUUCCAAUUAAUUCAAAUUUUACAAAAUAUUCAUCAUAAAAUCAAACGACUUGAUAAUUGGGCGUGCUCUAAAGUAUAAGCACACACCUUGUGGCUUGUCAUUGAUAUUUAGCAAUCAUUCAUAAAUUCUGGACUAUAAAUAUACCCAAAUGAUUCGUUUGAAAUUUUUUAUAAUUUGACAAAAAAUUGAAAUAGUGAAAUGCAGAGUGAUCUUAUACUGACCCAUUUGUAAAUAGUGUUUCAUUGUUAUUUUUGUUAUUGCUGAAGGUUUCUAUAGUCCACAAUGUCGACGACGGCGUUCGUCGAUAGAAUUGAUCCAUUUGCCAAAAGAUCACUCAAGAAGAAGACCAAAAAGUCUCAAGGUAGCUCUAGAUAUCGAAACUCUCAAGAUGUUGAACUUCAACCAUUACCUCUUCUUAAAGAUGUACCAGCGUCUGAACAAGAAGAAUUGUUUAUACGUAAACUUAGACAGUGCUGUGUUGCAUUUGAUUUUAUGGAUCCCGUAGCUGAUUUGAAGGGAAAAGAAGUUAAAAGAUGUACUUUGAAUGAAUUGGUUGAUUACAUAACAGGAGGAAGGGGUGUUCUCACUGAGCCAGUUUAUCCUGAAAUUAUUAAAAUGAUAUCUGCAAAUCUAUUUAGAACGUUACCCCCAAGUGAAAACCCUGAUUUUGACCCAGAAGAAGAUGAUCCUACAUUGGAAGCGAGCUGGCCUCAUCUCCAAUUGGUUUAUGAAUUUUUUCUAAGGUUCUUGGAGAGUUCAGACUUUCAACCGACAAUAGGAAAACGUGUAAUUGAUCAGAAAUUUGUUCUACAACUGCUAGAAUUGUUCGAUUCUGAAGAUCCGAGGGAAAGAGAUUUCCUGAAAACAGUAUUGCACCGUAUUUAUGGGAAAUUUUUAGGUCUACGAGCCUUUAUUCGAAAACAAAUUAAUAACAUUUUUUUGAGGUUUGUGUAUGAGACUGAACAUUUCAAUGGAGUUGGAGAGCUUUUAGAAAUCUUAGGUUCGAUUAUUAAUGGCUUUGCGUUACCGCUUAAAGUUGAACACAAACAGUUCCUGGUGAAGGUACUUAUACCUUUACAUAAGGUUAAGUGCCUGUCGCUGUAUCAUGCGCAGCUAGCCUAUUGUGUUGUUCAGUUCUUAGAGAAAGACCCUACCCUGACUGAACCGGUCGUUAGAGGCCUUCUCAAAUAUUGGCCCAAAACAUGUAGCCAAAAAGAAGUUAUGUUUUUGGGAGAAAUUGAAGAAGUUUUAGAUGUUAUAGAGCCAUCCCAAUUCUUACGUAUUCAAGAGCCAUUGUUUAGGCAAAUUUCUAAGUGUGUUUCAAGUCCUCAUUUCCAGGUGGCAGAACGUGCUUUAUACUUUUGGAACAAUGAAUACAUUAUGUCUUUAAUGGAGGAAAAUAACCAUGUUAUAAUGCCAAUUAUGUUCCCUGCACUCUACCGUAUUUCCAAAGAACAUUGGAAUCAAACUAUAGUCGCGCUUGUAUACAAUGUUCUUAAAACAUUUAUGGAAAUGAAUUCAAAAUUAUUUGAUGAACUUACUGUGAGUUACAAAGCUGAAAGACAAAAAGAAAAGAAACGAGAAAAGGAAAGAGAUGAAUUGUGGAAGAAAUUAGCGGAGCUCGAGAUAUCCCAUAACAAGAAUACAUCUGCACAGCAUAAUAAUAGCCCAUCCAGCAAAAAGUGAUAAUAUAAUAAAUAACAGCCUAAUAUCCCUGCCCCUUGUUAAUGUUUGCUGCAUUGAAGAGUUAUUUCUACAGUUUCACUAUUAAACCGGCUUCAGAAAAAAGGAAUUAAAUUUAAAAUAAAUUUUAUCUGAAAUUGGUUUUCAUCAAAUAUUUAUUAAAAAUGUAAGUGUUGUUGCAAAUCACUAUGUCUAUUAUUUUCUUCAAAUUUGAAAUUUUGUUAACAACUCGAACUCAUCAAGCACGUGUGUUUUAUCAAAAAAUAAAAAUAACUUAUAUGCAGUUUUGUUAGUAUCAAAUCAAUGUACACUUAAUGGGCUGUAAAAAGUAUUGAUAGCUUUUUUGAAAAUGUAGAAAAUUCACUAUUUUAGAGAUUCAUAUAAAAAUUUAAUCGUCUCGUAGAGUGAAUUUCGUAAUUAUUUCUUGUUUUAAAAGAUGCUGUAAUAUGUUUUGCAAUUAUAUUGCACUUGCGGUUAAGAUAUAAUAGUAUUUUCUGUGGUGACGUUCCGAAUUACACCCUCGUCCUCCACCUUCAGUUCACUCGGUGGUUAAAAAAAGGCCAAAAUCAUUAACGUACAUGAAUAUAAACAAAAACAUCAACAUGGAGCCUAUAUUGAAAAGAUGUUGGUACACAGUUAUAGCGUUGCUGUACUUAUCAUCAAAUAAUUAGAUAUAUUUUUUUGAAAAUGAAAAUCGGUGAUUUCAUACCAUAGCGGUCCUCUCGUUUUUCGCUCUAGAUAAUAGAAAAUCAUCCAAUUUUUAUUAUUAUUUAUUUAAUUAUCGUUACACGGCAAAUUUGUAGAAAAAUUACGGGAAUAAAAAAAAGUUUUUAAUGGUCAUGUAAACACAAUCAUAUACGUAUAAUUAUUGAUAACUUUUUUACCAACAAUAUAAAGAAUGCCGUAUAUUUUUUGUUUAAUCUACCCAAAAAACGAAAAAAUUUUAAAAAAUUAUGAUUUUUCAUGUUUAUAUACAUAUUGUACUUUUUCAUCCAAUAAUCAUCAAAAUAAUAUAAUCAAAAUGUUUAUAGAGCAAAAUCUGCUAUAAGGGGUAAUUUUUAUUCAAAACACCAUAAUAAAUAAACGGAGGUAGUUUAAGCAUUAUUUUCAUAUUUCAUUUUUUCUACAUAUACUAUCAAGCAUUUAAUAAAAAAGAACAUGUUUCUAAAAAAAGUAGAUGAAAAUGUAGAAUGGAAGAAAAUUGUACUACUCCAUAUUUGGGAUAAAUGUUAUUCUAAUAUGAGGUACCUAAUUUAAUUUGUAACUUGAAAUAAGUAUAUAACUAAAAAUUAUUUUGUAUUAUUUAGAAAUAUUUAUGGAAAUGAAAAAAGUUUACCGAAAAAAAGUUAUGCAUAUAAACAUAAAGAAACAUGUUUCUGAAAAAAGCAAAAGAAAAUAUACAGAAUUAAAAAAGGACACUACUCUAUAUUUGGGACAUAUGUUAUCCUAAAAUGAGGUACCCAAUUUAAUUUUGGUAAUAAGUAUAUAAGUAAGAAUUAUUUUGUACUUUUUAAAAAUAUUUAUUUAUGGAAAUGAAAAAAGGUAACCUAAAAAAGUUAUACAUAUAAACAUAAAGAAAUUAUAUAGAAAGUAGAACAAGUUAUUCAAAAUUCAGAAAUAUACCCAUUUCUUUUCCAACUAGCACAAUCAACAUAAGCACUUUGGAGCAGUUCUGACGCAUUAUCCAUUCUUCGCCACUCACAUCUUCAGAGUACGGAAUUUCGCAGAAAAAACAAACAGCAUCUUCAAAGCUUUCUACCUGGUCCACUGAAUUUUUAUACUCCAAUAGGUUUUAUUUUUUUCUACUGAUUUGGUUUUGAACAAUUAUCUUCCUAGUUAUAACAGUAAAUUUUCACUUCUUGAAUCCUCUUUAAUAAUAUUUUUGAAGCAGUUAGAACAGGCAUCAAGUUUACAGGUGUUCUCUAGGGUAACCUGUCUUCCAGUGGUUUGCUUGUCCUUCAGAGGUUUUUUCCUUUUGGUUCGCUGUUAUCUGAUUGUUUAUCCUCUACUUUUUCUUCAUUCACUGUUUCUACUCUUUCUUCAUUUUGUUUCUUGCAUUUCUGCAACAAAAUCUUAUUCUUUGAAUGCGUUUCUAUCAUGAGGAAACAUUCCGGAUCUUUAAACCCGUUUAUACUGAUAAAUUUUCACAUGAGGUUUCCCAUUUCUUUUAAUUCGCCGUAAAAACAAAAGUUGAAUUAAUUCAUUGAAAUUGAAUGCCUUUUCGACUCUCUAAGAGCCUCAAAAACGAUAGUAUAAAUUAUCUGAAAAUGAAAAUAUUUGUAAAUGAGGUAAAGUUAAUUAUUAAUUAAUAUUAAAAGUUAAUUAGUAGUUAAAUAUAAUAUUUGGCAGAAGUAAUUCACACUGUAUGACCAAAAUAAAAAUUUUCAUGUUUCACAUUGUAGUUAUAACUACAGUACAAUAUAAACAUUCAUAGGUGUUUCAAAUGAAUAUUUAUAAGUUUCAUAAAGAAAAACGUUUUCUUUAGGUAUAAAUUCAAAAUGGAAAAAUUGCAACGUGUUUCGCUAUUCAUAUAAUUCGUGGAUGUGUCGCCUAGUCAAAACUAAACAGUUUUUUUGAAAAUUCAAGAUAUUGAUUAAAUUCGAUCUUAAAACUUAGAACAAAAUAAUUUGUGCUAAUAUGGAAUAAUCAAACAAAUUAAUUUAUCGAGGAAUGUUUAAACAAAGCUUGUGUGACCAUCAUUUGCACGUUUUACAGCAGGACAUUUUGGCAUACUUUUAACCAAGUUGUCCAAUAAAUUUCGUGCGAUUUUUGCUGUGAAGUUGUGAAGAGGAUUUCAAAGUUUUUUCUUAUAGUUUCUGCUCGCGGAUUGUGGUCGUCUAUGGCUUUUUCAAACUGAUCCCAAGCAUAUUCCAUGGGUUUCAGAUUAGGCAACUUUGAUUUUCUAUUCUAAAACGACCGCAGGUCGAUGUGGUUUCGCAUUAUCAUUGAUAAAAGUGAACCGAGGGCCUUUAUCAGCAUAAAAUUGAUCUCUUUAUACUUGUCAUGUUUUCAUCCGUCCACUGAAAACAUUACUUGUCCAGACCAUAAUUGAACUUCCUCGAAAAGGGUGAAUAUCAAAGCCGUUGAUGGCGUCAAUGGAUUAAUCUAUAUUCGUUUUCGUGUACUAUCUGAAAAUAAUCCAUAAAAAGAUUCUGUAAAGAUCGCGAUCCCAAAUUCAUUACAUCAUGUUGGUGUUAUAAUGUUCAAGCUAAUCUUUGUUACCUACAGGUGCCUACAGGUGUCAAUAGUACUCUGUCAGAAUCUUGAAUUGGCAGAUUUUUCUUAUUCUUGAGAACGAUUCAGAAACACUUCUAGCAUAGUUCCUAGUAACGUUGUAGGCGGCCAAGUGAUUGAAGACUUAGUUGAUAUUGUCAAAGGCCGAUGUCGAUCAGGCGCUUUGGCUUGAAUCAACACUUUUAGCUACACCAAGAAUGAAUUCUGGUCCCAUUGGUGAGAUGUAAGUCCUCUUCAUCGUUCUCCUCAUAUCUAGCAUUAAAAAGUUUUAUACGAAUCGUAAGUCCCAGAUGACAAUUAUCAAUGGCAGUUGUUACUCUGGAUCUUACACAUUUCUUUCGACAACGGGUUCAGUUUUAAGCAUCUUCAAAAUACAUUGAGCCCGCUUCGAGUAAUCCAAUAGCUCGAGAUUCUUCGAUAGUUAAUUUUUUUGCCAUUACUAAAAUUAGUUGUUUGAAAAAUUUUAUACAGCCGUUCAAUAUUUCAAUACAAAGAAAUAUAAUUCUAAAUUCAGAUUUUUUAUCAUAGAUUCUAAAAAUGAAAUAAAAAAAUUAUCACAAAGCAACACGAAAAUAAAAUUAAUAAUAACAAAUUUCACUAAAUAAUUUAAAAUAGGUCGAUUUAAACCCUUUACCUUCAACUUUUGAAUAUGUUUCAAAUACUGUCAUGACGUUGGCUUUUAUUUAUUUUUUUUUUUUUUGGUUCAAAGGAGGAUCUAUAAAGGUCUAUAUUGUACAGCUCAAAGAAUGAAUUGCUCAGAUUUAAAUUUCCUUUUUGUUUCUUGAAAAUUUUGGGAUAAAUAUUUUUAUUAAAGUAGCCUUAUGCAUUAACUGUGAGAUAAAGGAGGUGGACGAGUGUAUUAAAUAUUAGGGCCUUGCUGUGGAAAGUAUAUUAUUUAAUUGUUGAUAACAAAUAACGAACGUUUAUUAAGAUAGAUUCAAAUAUUUAGCAAUUAAAUUUAAAAAUAAGAUACUGCACGAUAUUUUGUAACGUAAGUCAUUUGUAAAAAGUCGUACACUCAAUGUUACAAGGAUUGUUCAAUUAAAACACACAUUUACUAUGAAUUUAUUCUAAUUGGUUACGGAACAUAAAUACCUAUAGGAUCUGUCUCCAGCUAAAAUCCCUUAUAAUAAACGUAAAUCUGGACAACGCCGACUGAAAUAAAUUUCUUGGUAACAAACUAGUUCUCCUUUUCUAUUCCACCCUAUUUUAUCAAGUGAUAACAGAAGGACUUUUAUUUUUCCGAUAAAUUUCUUUUUAAAUGACAACAAUUCACCAACUCAUUAAUUUUAUGCAAAAUCAUGUAGAGCAAUUCUGUCAAAUGUUAGUUUUUCGUUUUAAAUUAUUGAAAAAUUUUGAGUUGGAAAUUCAUUCUUAAUAGAAUGGCUCAAGUAUUUUUGACAAAUGAAUUAACGAUCAAAUGUGAGUACAAUAAAGGACUAAGCCCAAUAUAUUGAAGCAUCAAAAAAUGGGUAAAAAAAUGGCGAAAAUUUGUUAACUUAUUCUCGGUUCUAUCGAUAUCUGAUGUUCAUAAUAUAUUAAGAAGCAUUUAUAUGUUCUUACAAAUGUUUCACAAAGUGUCAACGGGAGAUUUAAUUUCGUUUUAUGAAUGUGGUUUGGUCCAAUUUAUAAUUGUAGAUUUUUACACUGCCAAGCAUAAUUAGGAUCACCCCACCCCGUAAGAGAAAUUUUUAUGUUUUCUCGGAUCUUUUUCGGUUGUAACAUAGUUUGCUAAAGGUCUGCUCUAAUGAAAAAGUAGUUUCUGUUGUUGAAAGUUAUGAACAUGAAUAAUUUCAAUUUAUACUAAGUAAUGACAAUGAAUAAAAUCACUUUGCUAUGGUUUUCGUUGAAACAAAAUAAAUUUUAAGGCAUUCAGUAGCUGGUAUUCCCUCCUCGAUAGUGAUAACAUCUUGCAAACGCGAGGCAUGCUUUUGAUCAGAUUUUAUGUAAAGUUCUGCGGAAGACUGUCCCAUUCCUGUACCCGUAUGUCGCGAAGCUCUCUAGAAUUUCUGGGAUCGGCACAUGUCUCUGUAAAGGUCUCCCCAUUUCCCCACAAGUGUUCAAUGGGAUUUAAGUUUGGAGUGUGAGCAGGAAACUCCGCAUUUUUGGAGGUUCGGACAUGGUAUUCCUUCUUCACAUUCGGCUAAUGCAGGGUACAUGCUACUGCGUGAAAUAUUUUGAUUUUGAAAAAUGGAAACUAUGUCAGACUUAGGGAUCUGUCCAACCAAAUUAUGAAUGCUUCAUUUUAUUUCCAACUUGUAAGACAUUAAUGCAACUGAUAUAAAAAAGGACUUGUCUACGUUAGUAAGUGCCCCUCGUAAAACCUAUGUCAAAAAGACUAUGUGAUUUUAGCCAAUUAGAGUUAUGAUUCAGUGUGGAAUAAGUUUUAAAAGUAACAGUAGAGCCUGGAUUAUAAACCACAAUCUAAAGAUCAAAGCGAACUAUCAACAAUAGGUGUAUCGUGCGAUACCGAAUAUCACAGAGCAUAAUAAUGUCAAAUUAAACGUUCAUUAAUUGUUCGUGGAUAAAUGUUCGAAAUGUGUUCAAUUAAACCACCUCGAAGAAAGAUAAGUCAGAUCCUAAGAAUGUAAAUACUUUAUUUCGACCUGAUUAUUUAGAAGAGUAGUUAUGUUCCAAUAUUUACCUCGAUUCCUUCAUAAUUGAGUGCUUUAGAAUAAGAGGUGUAUAGGUGCAAUUUUGACUACUUUCAGAUAUUUGCAGUGCUUGAAUGGUUAUUUGAAAAAGUUUAUGAAAAAUUUGUCAAAACUCUAAAAAAGUAUUUAUCCCCUUUCUAUUCCAACUUUUUAUUUAAAAAAACUCGGAAUAAAAUUAUGAUUUUAUUUUGGGGAAAAAAACAAACUUAUAAACAUUAUUCGACAACGGAAUAUAAAAUGAAGUCCAUUUCAUGUGCUGCAUUUUAUUCUUCGAAUUAAUUUUGAUUUUUGUUUCUUCUCUUAUCUUUUAUCUCGUAUUGAAUGUUGUAAUAUUCGUGAUAUAUUGGAGGAAGUGUUUGCAACUUUUCCCACUUUAGCUCAUUUAUUUUUUGAACAAUCAUUGUUUAACUGCAAAACUUGUCUGUGGCUUUAGAAAAAUAGACGCAUUUGCUAAAAGGAGAUUCUAAAUCCAAAGAACUUUUAUAAGAAAACGAAAUUAUCUCUGUCUCUUUUGUGUAAAAGAAAUAUUGAAUUUCCUUCGUGCCUUUUCUGCUCUUCUGUGGUGACCCAUUAUUUGCUUUAUCUCAGAAUCUUUAACUUUUUCUGCAUCUUAAAAAUAUUUAAUCUUAGUAUCAAAACUAUCAUAUUUACAAGUGACAGAAUUUUAAGUUAAAUUCUGUAUUAAAAACAUAUUGUUAAUACGUCUGUUUAAAAAGAAUUAUUUGUCUUUCCUUACAGUGUUCAAUAUUAAAUCUUACAUUUUGUUAAUAUUGAGCUCCCGAGAUGAAUAUCGUUAUGUUGAAGUUUGAAUUUCUAGAAUAAUGACACCUGUAUUUUGGAAACAAUUUUAUGUGUUCAAUGACCGAAUCUCGUUUUACCGGAACCAUUUUUAUGGCAGAACUGCGACCUCUCUGGCCCUUUUUACAACUACCAACAUCGCUACUUUUGUAAGAAACUGGAGUAAAUCUUUUGUUGCUAAUGUAAAAGUUUGAAGAAAGAACAUUUUGCAAACAUGCUUUCAUUGAAACUUUUGCCUUUGAUCUCAUUUUAUUUGAACAUGUUUUUUCUUUAUGCUUCUAUAUACCACUUUACUUUAUCAUCUUCCAAUGUAUUUUUGUUGCAGUUAAAGCGACAGUUAUGUUGAUAUUGUUUCACAUUGCAUUGUAAAUGAGGCUUCUUUUUGUGCCCAAUAUAUGCUUUUCUAGAAUUUUUGUGAUAUCUGAUCUUCAGAAGAAAUUAUCUCAAAAUUUUAAUUUAGUAUCACAGCGUGGUAAACUAUCUUCUGUAUUAGAAGUAUCCAUAGCAAAAUAUGGUACAAACUCAAAAUGUGAAGGGUAAUAAGAGGUAUUUAACGGCUUAACAUUUGACGAAACUAAUCCUGAAAGUUAUUGUUCGGUUGUUUCUAAGUAAAUGUGGAAUAUUAUUUGGAAUAAAAUGGGUGGGUACAGGUGUGUAUACCUGUUUUACAUCAAUUGAACCACAAUUUGUAUUUGUUUUGCCCGAAACAAAUUUAAUUCUUAAAUUUUUAUAUAUGCCCAUAUUCCCAAAUUAAUAAAUAUGCACAUUUACCGCUUUUAUACCAAGGCACUCAAUUUGAAGUGUAAUUCAUAUUUAAUAUUAUUUAAUCCUCCUCUUAUAAUUUGGUACAAAAUCUGAUGAUCCUUUGAAGCCGUGGUUCCAGUGAUAAAAGGACAGAUUACAAUAGAAAAUAAUUUCCUUAAAAUAUUUUAACAAUCGAUUUAAUAUCAACUUCAUUAUGGACAAUCGUUGAAGGAAGACUGGUAUAAAAAUCGUUUUUAAUUGAACAAACUUCAUGGUUUACAAUAUGAAAUGUUUUAGAAACAACAAACAACUUACCUUUAUAACUCUAACGUGCGAAAUUAAUUUUUAAAGCUUUGCUCAACCCGAAAUGUUUUCGAAGUGAAACUUUUUAAACGACUCUUCCGCUUUAUUUAAGUAUAGUACGCACCAACAUUAUUUUGUUCUUAAUUCUUUUAUUGUAAAUUAUUUCUGUAAACUGCGAUAGAUAUUUUAAAAUUAAAAAUAACAAAUUAUAUAUGUAAUUAACUUAACCAAGUCUUUUAUACGUGAAAUUUGUUUUGCUUCAAUAAAAUAGGAAAAAAUUGUGUAUAUCCCUUUCCUUUCCAAGUAAAGUACCAAAACUAUCCAAUUUUCAGUACUAUAUGAAAUAGUAGAACAUUUCAAUGUUCGUUCUGAUACUUAAAAAAAAUAAUUAUACACAUUUCACUUUGGGAUAUACAACCACCCCAAACUUGAAAAUAGUAUAUUUUUUUAACCUUGGUACUAAACAGUGAGUAUUACCAUUAAAAGUUAUUAGUGACGAGCUUGCCGUAUUUGUUUUCAAAUAUGUCAUAAUUUUUGUAAUAAUAUUAACAUUUUUUCUCAUAACUUAUUAUGACGAAAGUUUUUUCAAAAUUCAGAUUUCCAAUUAUAAAAUUUCGAGUGGGGUUAACUGAAAUGCUGAGACGCUGACCGUUUUUGGAGGUUAUGUUUUUCAUUUCCAUAUUGACAAACUAGAAUUUAUUGACUAAAUGGCCCCUUUGACGUUUUUCUUGUGAUAAACGCGAUACUUACCUAAAUAUUAACAAAAACCACCUUUAGUUUGGGUGUAUAAUAAAAUAAAGCCUCUAUACGAGUAUAUAAAAUAAUAGGAAAUUUUAUUGAGAAACUUUGGUACCAUAUAAAAAAAAGAAAUUCAGGACGGGUUUUCUGUGCCAAUUCAUACUUUUCUGAGGUUCCUGUUUUUACCCUUUUACAUACUCAUUUCUCCUGUAGAGAGAAUAUCAUUUUACGUCAUCCCACUGAAUACAUAAAAUUUUUUAUAAGCUCGCACCAAUGUUCAAAAUACCUACCGGGAGUAUCGAAGAAGUCAUUAGUUUCUUGGUCGAACAUUUCUAUUUCUUGCAAGAAGAAUAUCUCCACUUUUUAUAUUAUUGUUUUAAGACUUUUCGCCUUAAUAUAAAUAAUUACCGACUUUUCAAUCGUUUUGAUACGCUUUCCGUUUAGAUAUGACUGUCUGACCACCAAAACAGUUUAAAGUUCUGAAAAUUGGUUUUUAAAGUCGUGUCGACUGUAGCUUUUGGGACUUUUUCUUUAACUGCGAAAAUAUAUUCUAAGAUAUAAAAUGAAACAAAAAUACUGGAAUAUACCUAGAUAAUCACAUCAUCUAGCAAAUUUAUCUUUUGGCAAAUUGAAAUCUCUGACCGUGUUAAUGAAAUAUUCUGUUGGAAUAAGAUGGUGUUUUUGUUGUUCCGGUGUAAGUGAAAACCUCUUAAGAAUUUACUUGUAUUAGAACUAAAAAAUGAGUUACUUUUCUGCGAUAACAUAAUUCUUUGGGUGAUUCGGGCACUGGUUGUGUCAGGUCGUGUGCAACUGUAACAGAAAAAGAUUCAAGGUGUUAAUCUUAAAAGUAGCGGUCAUUGACGUGGUAUUGCAAAUUUAUUGGACCUCUUCUUACCUAGAUACUAACCUAAAAUAUAGAUAUGAAUAUUAAUAUGUAUUUCAUAUUUGAACUUCCGCGAUAUCAUUUUAAAUUUUACUAGACUUGGACAAAACACCUUGUUUACCACUCGGGUGCUAGUUAGCGGUACUCUUUUGCAGCGGUAUUUUUCAGUUUAUCAAAAUUUAUAAAAACAUUAGUUUUAUUACUAUAACUAUCGCAAACUUUAUACCUAAAAAGGGUAUUUUCUUUUCAUUGUUUUGCAUAAUUAACCCAAAAAUUAUAAAAUAAAUAAUCCUAGGACAAGAAACAAAAUUGUAUAUCUGUAUGAUUCAGUAUGAUGUCUCGCCAUGUUGGAAAUAUUACUUCCUAACAAACGAAAAAUAUAUGAUUGAAUAUUCUUUAUUCAAUGCUAAUACUUCAUUCUCCACUGACAAAUAUCUUUGGCUAUUAUUUGGAUGAACUUUGAAACGUGGAUUCUUUUAGAUACAAUUUAUGUUAACACCAUUUUUCUUGACAAUUUCGUCAAAACUAGGUUGAUAAAUAUCAAUGUUACUUGAGAUGUAAGGAAAACACCACAUGGAUCAAAACUUUUGCAAAUCUUCAAAAUCUUUUUUUUUGUCAAAUGGAGCUUGAAAAAGGAUGAAUUUCUCGUUUUAACAUUUCUUACAUCUAUGCAAGUUUGAAGACGUCUACGCAUGUAGUUAGUAAUUAGUCGUUAGAUGGACAAUUAUUGAAAUACUUCUAAAUGGAUCCAAAAGUACUUUUUAUUUACCUGAAAAGUCUGCCCGGGCUUUUUUAAUAGAGGAUACACCAAGCUUUUAAAAACGAUCGGUCCUUUCAGUUUCAUGGUACUCAAUUACGGUCCUUGACUUCCUCAAUACUCGCUUUCGACAAUUCACCAGACAACUAGGUUGGUUCCAGAAUUCUCCUGGUAAAUUUAUAUACUUUCCCUUCCACUGGAGUCUGUGAAUUGGGUGCUCAUGUUGUAGUGGGAAAAUGCUUCAUACCGGCAUCUCAAACCACUUCUUUGUAGCAUAAGAUAUUUCAAUUCCUAAGUCCAGUCUCAUACGUCUGUGAAGUUCCACCACUAGUAUGGUACAAAAAUAUUUUUUUUGUAUGAAGUGUGUCCCCACUUGUAAAUCAAAUAUCAUAUCAGCAAGUCAGAACAUGUAGUGUGUAAAAGUCAAAUAGAAUACAUUUCAUUAUUUUGAUUGCUGUAUAUAUUUGUGAACAUUCACGAAAAACAUUAAAUUUAAAUUAUAAACUGAUAUUAUUUAACGUAAAAACGAGAUUCCUACCUUCCCCUUUUCGAAUGGCAGGUACAACCCUAAUUUUUUAAAUCAUUGUGAUAUAGCGUUCCAUUCUGUAUUCAAAGAAAUUAUCAUUUUGAAGUAUAUCAUAGUAAAGAUGUAACAUGUAAAAGAAUCUAAAACAUUUGAAAGAACUAUGAAUGUCAAUGAAGUAGUGUUCCAAAAAUUUACCUCAAAUUCCUUGGAAAUAUUUUAAAUUGUCUUCUAACCUUAUUCAACAUAUAAAGCGUAAUGUUAGAUCAGGUGAUGGCCAUUCUAUCGAUCCUUGCCUCUGUCUCCACGUUUGGGAAAUAUACCAUUGAGAUACUGCCGAACCUUUCUUUGGUAAUGUGAUGGUGCUCUAUCUUGCUGAAACCAUGUCGCAUUCACUGGAAAUAUCGUUUCGUUUCCAACAAUCCCUACAUACACAUUAACCCUUCGAGAAUAUUGCUUUUGUCCUUUUCUCAUUCAAUGAGGAUUUGGAUUGAUUGGAAGCGGCCAUUUUGGUAGUUAUAAAACUUGUCGAUCGUUCACUCACAAAUAUAAAUUCUCCAAUCAAAAUCGUUUUUCAUGAACUCCUAAGUAGGGAAAUUUUAUAGGGAUACAUUUUUUUCUUUUAAUACGUUUACUAUCGAUGUAGUGAAUGCCUGUCUACUUGAUGUACGUGGGAUUUUCCUCAAGCAUCAAACACAUCUGUUUUGACUUUAUCACUCAGCUCAUUGGCAGCUGCUUUUUUAGUCAGCUUUACACGGCCAGACUCACGAAACUGCUUCUCUAUUCUACUAAUAAUUCCUUGGAAUAUAAGAGUUAAAUCAGGAAAACAAGUUAAUUCCUGCUAUGUUCGGCUUCACAAUUUCAAAUUAUGAUUAUAAUACUGACAACUUAUAAUUACAAAACAAUUUGCUGAAGUGUAUUAAACAAACUAAUAUUGCCAUAGAAACACUUCGAAGUAUGAAUUUUAAAAAUCUGAGUAUAUUAUAGUAAAUUUAUAAUUGGUGCCAGAAACUUGAAAACAAUUUUUGAAUAGAUAAUGAAGAUACCUUUCAAACUAUACUUCCCAUUUUUACCUGUCAUUCGAUGAGAGUUGAAGAUGACAUGUUUAGGAAUUGUUCAUAAAUAUGUACAGUAGCCCAAUUUAUGAAUUUAUUCCAUUUGGCUUUUUCAUAUUUUAUUACGGAAAUACCUGACCUCAAAGUACAGUAUGUUCUUCACUAAUGACUUUCGUUUUAUGAAAACUCUACCCGAUCGCUCGUUGUGAAAAAUAUUUCUUGAAGUGUGCUUUCUAUUUGAAAUAUACUGAAAUAUGAAAAACGAAGUAUUUGGAUAGAAAAAAUGUUCCUGCAGUUAAUUGAGGAAUGUAAUUGUCAGUUUCUAUAUAUGGAAUCGCGCGAUUGGUCCCCCUCAAACUAUGUAAAAUAUAUUUAACACUAUGAAUCUUGUAGAUAUAUUAAAAAAUAUAUUGUUAAAUCUCUAUUGUUUUUUUUUCUUGAAAGGGUUAAAUUAAUGUAGAUAAUUUAGAGCAGAGUGUUUUGUGUUGUAUAUAAAAAUAUAUUAUAUAUGUCUGAAGUAAAUAUAGCUUAGAUUUUAUUUAGGUACGUUUCCAUGCCAUAUACUUUUUUUAUGUGUUAGAUAACAUAAAAAGCUCUGCUUCUAAGAAUACAACUGUGACCUAAUUUUUAUUUUGUUGUUAAAUAUUUUUGAUUAUUGUGAAUGUAAUAGUAAAUCAGUACAUUUUUAACUUUCAUAAGACUUACUUAAGCAGUUAUCAGUGUACGCAUAUGAGUGCGUCAAUAAAUAUUCUCAUUUUGA